This 468-nucleotide ribosomal RNA is filed under the name uncultured bacterium. Its description in RNAcentral is "partial 16S ribosomal RNA". It matches the Rfam family "Bacterial small subunit ribosomal RNA", at positions 28 to 507 of the family's 1533-position model. The record is from RNAcentral.
GACGAACGCUGGCGGCGUGCUUAACACAUGCAAGUCGAACGGAAAGGCCCUGCUUUUGUGGGGUGCUCGAGGGGCGAACGGGUGAGUAACACGUGAGUAACCUGCCCUUGACUUUGGGAUAACUUCAGGAAACUGGGGCUAAUACCGGAUAGGAGCUCCUGCUGCAGGGUGGGGGUUGGAAAGUUUCGGCGGUUGGGGAUGGACUCGCGGCUUAUCAGCUUGUUGGUGGGGUAGGGGCUUACCAAGGCUUUGACGGGUAGCCGGCCUGAGAGGGUGACCGGCCACAUUGGGACUGAGAUACGGCCCAGACUCCUACGGGAGGCAGCAGUGGGGAAUAUUGCACAAUGGGCGGAAGCCUGAUGCAGCAACGCCGCGUGCGGGAUGACGGCCUUCGGGUUGUAAACCGCUUUCGGCUGGGAAGAAGCGAGAGUGACGGUAAUUGGUAAAGAAGCACCGGCUAACUACGUG